GAACCGCAUGGCGUAGUGGUUAAAUGCUUGCAUUGCCACUCGCACGGUCAGGAGUUCGAGCCCCCUGUGGGUCA
Molecule: transfer RNA, 74 nt
Filed under: Sphaerodactylus townsendi
Lineage: Eukaryota; Metazoa; Chordata; Lepidosauria; Squamata; Sphaerodactylidae
Description: tRNA-Gly
Source: RNAcentral